This 253-nucleotide ribosomal RNA is filed under the name uncultured bacterium. Its description in RNAcentral is "partial 16S ribosomal RNA". It matches the Rfam family "Bacterial small subunit ribosomal RNA", at positions 524 to 776 of the family's 1533-position model. The record is from RNAcentral.
UACGGAGGGUGCGAGCGUUGUCCGGAAUCACUGGGCGUAAAGGGCGCGUAGGCGGUUCGUUAAGUCCUGUGUGAAAUCCCCCGGCUCAACUGGGGAACUGCACAGGAAACUAGCGGGCUUGAGUUCGGGAGAGGGAAGCGGAAUUCCGGGUGUAGCGGUGAAAUGCGUAGAUAUCCGGAGGAACACCGGUGGCGAAGGCGGCUUCCUGGACCGACACUGACGCUGAGGCGCGAAAGCUAGGGGAGCAAACGGG